This 468-nucleotide ribosomal RNA is filed under the name uncultured bacterium. Its description in RNAcentral is "partial 16S ribosomal RNA". It matches the Rfam family "Bacterial small subunit ribosomal RNA", at positions 28 to 507 of the family's 1533-position model. The record is from RNAcentral.
GACGAACGCUGGCGGCGCGCCUAACACAUGCAAGUCGAACGGAGCUGAGAGAAGCUUGCUUUUCUUAGCUUAGUGGCGAACGGGUGAGUAACGCGUGAGUAACCUGCCCUGGAGUGGGGGACAACAGUUGGAAACGACUGCUAAUACCGCAUAAGCCCACGGCCCGGCAUCGGGCUGAGGGAAAAGGAUUUAUUCGCUUCAGGAUGGACUCGCGUCCAAUUAGCUAGUUGGUGAGGUAACGGCCCACCAAGGCGACGAUUGGUAGCCGGACUGAGAGGUUGAACGGCCACAUUGGGACUGAGACACGGCCCAGACUCCUACGGGAGGCAGCAGUGGGGGAUGUUGCACAAUGGGGGAAACCCUGAUGCAGCGACGCCGCGUGGAGGAAGAAGGUUUUCGGAUUGUAAACUCCUGUCGUUAGGGACGAUAAUGACGGUACCUAACAAGAAAGCACCGGCUAACUACGUG